CGCAGCCGGCCGCGCAGCGCGGACACGGGCCGCAGCCUCCGCCCCCCCUCCCGCCUCGGGGGGACCGCCGCCGGCGCGGCUCCUUCGGCUGCACCGGGGGCUGCUGCGGCCGGAGCGCGAGGCGCUGCGCGGGACCUGUUGCGUUGGGAGCUGCGGCCGCUCCAGAAAGGGAGCCUUUCCACUUGAAGAAACUCUUGGUACCUGUAACUCGGGAGGAUUUAGUCUCUUGAAGCAAAGUUCUGUGACACUCAGACUCUGAUUAUGAUAGAAGUCAGUGCACUACAGAACUUUGUCUUUGGGGUCUGUAGCAGCGAAGGGGUUAAUGCAGCAGUCCUGAAAGACUCAGGUGGACACGUCACUACAGUCUCCUUCCAAAAGGAGGUGGGAUCGGAGGAGAGAAUGAAAUGGGAAUGGGAGAGCAGACCAGGGUUCACUUCAGUAACUCUGCUUUGGGCUUGAAAUAAAAACUUUGCUUUUAUAGUCUAGUGGCCUCCUAGUUUCUGAAGAUUUUAGAUUAAAAAUAGCGCAACAUCUGGGUAUCAGAAAGUUAUUUAAAUGAGGCCAAUUUGACUGCAAGUAUAAAUGUGGAACUAAAUGUGGUGCUAAGUGCUACCAAUUAGUGGUCAUAUUAACAUGUUAGGCACUAUUCCUAUUUGCCUAAUCUCUGUAGACAUUAUAUAAGUUACAGAACACUUGUGCAAAAACCUUAGUUUUGGUUAAAUAAUUAUGACAAUAGUUAACUGAAAGCUGUUUUAACUAGAGUUGAAGAAAUGACUUGGUACUCUUCAUUAGCAAGAUCUAGGAAAUGUUCCACUCAAACUAUUACCACUGUCUGCAGUUUGCAUAUUUUGUGAUGUGCUGCAUCAUAAAGCAAUGAGUUAUCUUCACUUAAAAAUGUGAACUGCUAUUGGCUACUUGAAUACAAGGCAACUUUGUUCCUGUAUUUUUAAUGUAGUUGGACUACUGUCAACAUUUGUAUUUAAGUACUUGCAGAAAUCUUCCUUUUGAGGAAAAGGUUUUUAAAGGACAAGCCUAAAUCAAUGUUUAAAAGUAAGAAAGAUGUGCUGAAGACACUAUAAUCUGACACACACAGACUACACUGGUGGGUGUUGCAGGUCACAGCAAUGGCGGAGUUGGUUUUGAAUGUGAACAGAUGUCCAGUCAGGGCCAGAAUGAGGUGACCAAGCUCAUCUUCCUUUGACUUAAGCUGAGAUCUGAAGCUAGCAACAGUGUAACAUUCACUUGUUCACUUCAGAAAUGCUGCACAAUAUCAAAUACAAAUGGUAAAUGUAAAAUUUUUUUAAGGUGGGCUUACUCAAAAGAUUAUUAUUCUUAUGAUAGUCGAGGGAAUUGUUUCAAUAGCAGUCAACAAAUGAGGGUGUUUUGGACAUUGACUAUUUAUUACAAAUUAAGUAAUGACUUCAGAUAGCCCUUCAACAGUAGCCUCUUCAACAAAUAGUUGCACUGUAGUAGGGAAUGAAUGAAUAUAUAUCAGUGUUUUUCUGAUAGGGGUUUUGUGUUCAUUAGUUUCUUUAUGAUCUUCCACUACCCUAGAAACCUAAAUCAACUCUUCCUAUCAGUCCAUACCUGAAAGGUAAAGCAAGAGUAUCAGCUCACUGUGAGUUGGGCUGCAAUGUGAAAAGCUGUUAUAAAUAUAUAUAGUUUCUUUUGGCCAACCUAUUUCAUCAAAGGGUAGGUAAAGUGAAGAGCAUUUAGUGUAUGGUAGCCUGUGCGGUCAACGUUAUGGCUAUAUUUGCUUUUUCCAGACCAGUUUUUGGCAAUUGCCUGCUGUUUUAAAUUGUACACUAUGCAGUUCUUUUAAGAGAAGGCUUGGCUACUACUCUGUGCAGCUGUUUAUCAGUAUGGCUAUGGGGCAACACCUUUUAUUGUCAGGGCUAAAGUCCCACUGCUUAUUUAACUUAGGAGUGGUUUCUGCCCCUAUAUAAAAUACACACGGAGUUACUAUUUUUCCAUGUUUUGUACAUGCUCAAAAGCACCAGGCCUUAAGCAAAAAGGGCUCCCUAGUUUUAACACCUAAAUGUUAGUUGUUAGUUUUUCAAUCUUCAUUGCUGUGAAACACUUUUUUAUAUAUUUAACACCAUUAUAAAUGCUGGAGGCAAAACAGGGUUUGGGGUGGAGGCAGGCAGCUCAUCCCCCCCCCCCCCCCAUAAUAACCUCACAACCCCUUGAGGGGUCCUGCCCCCAAAUUUGAGAACCCCUGCUGUAUUAGGAGUUUAGCUUACACCAAUCCUGGGUCUGUGCUAGGACCAGAUUCUGAUGUUUCAAACUAAACCGUGAGUCAGUUAAUAUAGUCUUUCUGGAUUUACACCAGUGUAAUAGAUCAGAAUCUGGCUUUAAGUAAAGGGCUGAUUUAUUCUCUCACCUCUAAGUUGAAUGUGUAAGUUUUGGGGUGAAAUUUUUUUACUUACUCACCUGAGGAGUCCCACUGUAGUAAAUGUGACUAGAUAUGUGAGUAAGUUGAGCAAGCUUUGCCCUUAGAGUAUCUGUUGGGAGAUUUUUUUUUCAUUUGUCCCUGUGACUUUCUCACAAUGUGCAUUUUAGCUUGGUAGGGCAUGUGACACUCAAUACAUGCCAAUUUUCAGAUGGGAGUAAUACUUAAGUUUUGAUAGCAGGUGGUCAGGUGACCUGAGGCAGCUCUGGGAAAAAAUAAAACUAACAGUUCAAGAAGUCUAAUACUUGUACUAAAGUAUGCAGGUUCUGCUGAUCAUUUAGUGUGAUAGCUUUCCAGUUCACUUUUACACUUGGUCAUUCAAAACGCUGCUUUUUAAAAAGUACAUAUAACAAUUGGCUUAUUGUACAUAAGAUUUUCAUAAGUAACAUUUUUUAAAUCUUCAGAAUAGAGUAUAAUACAUCUGUGAUUUAAGAAUAAAAUUGUAAAAGAUACCUGUAGAGCCAUGAGGGCCUACCACUGGGUUCAAUCUUGAACAGUUUGAGAAUAACAUUUGAGCAAGAUAAUGGGGAUUAAUUUGUCUAAUAGCUUUUUAUUUAUUCUGCUUCUGUUUAAGUAAUCUGACUGCUAAACUAUAUACUUGCAUCAAAAUAACUUGUUUUGAGAGUGGCUUCUAGGCAGGGCAGUUUCUGCUCUAGGUUGUUGGACAACAUCGAUUGUAGCGAGAAUAUUCUAAACCAAUACUAUUCUUGCAUUUCAAAAUCAAGUGCCUUAAAAAAAAAAAAGCAGUUAUUUAAAUAUAUGGGACUCGUCCUCAUAAUGGGGAGAACACCCCAUUCUGCACAUUUGUGUAAGUGUCAAAAGGGUGGGUUUUUUGUUUUUUGAAACUAGGCAAAAUUUUAGUAUAGCAAAAGUGAGGGGAAGGGAAAGAACUAAAAAUUCUAAUAUUCUAGAAGCCACAGAAUGACACACAAUGAAAGUCAGACAUUUUCUGUGUGGUUUUUAUAGACUUUUAAUGUUAAUUUCAAUAAGGGAUUUGGCAUAGUGAUUGCUUGAUUCAUUUUUAAUGGCUGGGAUAAAUCCCCACGGAUUAAUCUUCAGAAAUAAUUGGUAAUCAACUAUUGAAUUAUAGUUGUAAGCAGAAAUGGUGUUUAAAAUGAACAAAAUAAGCGUUCAAUAAACACAACAUACCUGA
Molecule: long non-coding RNA, 3605 nt
Organism: Chelonia mydas (Green sea turtle)
Lineage: Eukaryota; Metazoa; Chordata; Testudines; Cheloniidae
Exons: 2
Source: RefSeq, a predicted model, not a curated record